RNAcentral lists this ribosomal RNA (720 nucleotides) under Xanthium strumarium. Its description in RNAcentral is "eukaryotic LSU rRNA". The stretch from base 314 to 469 matches the Rfam family "5.8S ribosomal RNA". The record is from RNAcentral. Lineage: Eukaryota; Viridiplantae; Streptophyta; Magnoliopsida; Asterales; Asteraceae.
AAGUCGUAACAAGGUUUCCGUAGGUGAACCUGCGGAAGGAUCAUUGUCGAACCCUGCACAGCAGAACGACCCGAGAACAAGUAAAAACAUCUGGCCGAGCGGGGAUCGAAGCUUACGUUUUGAGCCUUGUGAGGCCUUGUUGGCGUGUGUUUGUGCUUGCACCAUACAUGUGGGGCAUCAUGGAUUUCACGUUGACACACUAACAAACCCCCGGCACGGUACGUGCCAAGGAAAACUAAACUUAAAGGGCCCGUGCUACUGCGCCCCGCUCGCGGUGUGCGCUUUGUACGUGGCAUCUUUCUAAACUAAUAACGACUCUCGGCAACGGAUAUCUCGGCUCACGCAUCGAUGAAGAACGUAGCAAAAUGCGAUACUUGGUGUGAAUUGCAGAAUCCCGUGAACCAUCGAGUUUUUGAACGCAAGUUGCGCCCGAAGCCUUCCGGUUGAGGGCACGUCUGCCUGGGCGUCACGCAUCACGUCGCCCCCACCACGCCUCCCUUCUAGGGACGUCUUUGGUUGGGGCGGAGAUUGGUCUCCCGUGCCCAUGGCGUGGUUGGCCUAAAUAGGAGUCUCCCUAAGAGGGACGCACGACUAGUGGUGGUUGAUAACACAGUCGUCUCGUGUCGUGCGUUUUCAUUCUUGGGUGUAGAUGCUCUUAAAAUACCCUGACGCGUUGUCUUGCGACAGUGCUUCGAUCGCGACCCCAGGUCAGGCGGGACU